Molecule: antisense RNA, 77 nt
Filed under: Brucella intermedia LMG 3301
Lineage: Bacteria; Pseudomonadati; Pseudomonadota; Alphaproteobacteria; Hyphomicrobiales; Brucellaceae
Description: Ochrobactrum intermedium LMG 3301 ctRNA
Rfam family: ctRNA (bases 13-57)
About the family: This family represents a group of ctRNAs (or counter-transcribed RNAs) from p42d and related plasmids. ctRNAs are small, highly structured, antisense sequences which are involved in negative regulation. Members of this family are known to bind to the mRNA of repC causing translational repression.
Source: RNAcentral
GCUAAACCAAUGAGAAGGGCUUCCACACGGCGACGUUUGGGGGCCUUUUUCUUUUGCUGUCUCGUUCCUUUUCCUGA